Non-coding RNA from Oryza sativa Japonica Group (Japanese rice), 2076 nucleotides. The record is from RefSeq and is a predicted model, not a curated record. Lineage: Eukaryota; Viridiplantae; Streptophyta; Magnoliopsida; Poales; Poaceae.
UGACACUGAUAAUUAAGCGGAGCCCACUAGUCAGCAAAACCCAAGCCAGAUUUUUCCUCCGGUUCUUUCCUUCCGUCCUGGGCGUUCCGUUUUCAUCUUCAAAGGCAGACAGAUACAACCGUCCAUAUCGACGCCUCGCCGCCGCCAUUGCCUUCGCCGUUUUGCACAGCGAAGCAUCACGCUCUCCUGUACUCUAGAACCACCUCACAGCACUACGCGAGCUCUCCUUCUCUUCCUCUCGUAGAGAAACGUAGAUAAAAAUGUAAAUAUUAGUGAGGAACCUAAUAUCAAAUAAAUAGAAUGGAAGAGGCUUCGAACCCAAACUGAGCUAGCCCACCUCCUUUUGGAGCUAGCCGGGAGAAUCCUAGACGUUUCUCAAGAAGCAUAGAUCCAUCUGUAGUUCCACACCACUAUUUGAUUAUCAUGAUUAAUCUGAAAUGGCUGCAUCAACGCGCGCUGCUGUUUUGGGUAGCACGGAGACGUUCAGGUUCUGCAUUGACAGGGGCGGCACAUUCACCAACAUCCACACCGAGCUGCCCGGAAGGAGGGAAGGCUACGAGAAUGAAGCUUCUCUCCGUCGACCCGUCCAACUACGAGUCUACGACGACGCCCCCAUCGAAGGGAUCAGGAGGAUCCUGGAGGAGUUCUCCGGCGAGAAGAUUUGAAUAGCCGUGUUUACGGUUACAAGAAAAUCGAUUGAUGUGUUAGUCAAUCUAUGUUAGCAUGGAUAUUAUGGCUUUGUUUAGUCAUGGAUAUUUGGUAAAUAUUUAUAUAGGCAAUGAUGGCCCAUGGAUGUUGUUUAGAACACUCGUGUUCAUUUACAUUUAAAAUUCAGAUUUAUAUGCUUACUGUCCUUAAUUUCAGAUUAUAGUGUACGUUCUACAAAUCCUUAUGAUUUAACUUACUAUUUACUCAACAAAAUUAACUUUAUGCAAAACUGAACUACUUAGCUAUUUUCAUUGAUAUAUGUAGAAAUUUGCAUUCUCCUAUGUACAAUCAUAUAUUGUGUUAGUCUUGCGGAGUAACCUUUCGUACUCAUAUUGCUAUUUUUAGGUGAGGACGAUGGUGUUGAUGAUGUGCUCUACUACUAUCCCACAUGUCAUACUUCUCCCUCAACCCAAUCCCUCCUCAAUUGCUCUCUCUCUCUCUCUCUCUCGGGCGGCUGGCUGUGCCGAUGGAGGUGGACCGGGCGGCCGGCGAUGGAGGUGGAGCUCGCCCGGGCGGCCGAUGGCGGUAGUGGAGGCAGAGGCGGACCGGGCGGCCGGUGGCGGAGGAGGAGCUUGCCCGUGCAGUGGGCGAAAGAAGCGGAGCUCGCUUGGGCGGCCGGUGGCGGAGAUGGAGUUGGACCGGCGACCGGCGGCGGAGAUGGAGUUCGACCGGUGACUGGCGGCGGAGGCGGAGCUCACCCGGGCAGCAGGCGACUAAGGCGGAGGCGGACAGGGCAGCCGGUGACGGAGGCAGAGCUCGCCUGGGCGGCGGGCGUGUGAGGCGAAGCUCGCUCUGGUGGCCGGCGGCUGAGGCGGAGCUCGCCUGGCUGCCUCCCCGCCACGCCCCCGAGCCCCAGCAGCAGAGAGCUCGCCCUCGCGCGAAUGUGGCGGCUACGGUGGCGGCCCUCCCCGCUGCUGCACUGCAGGAAAGGGGGAAUCGACAAAGAAGGAGAGGGGAAAGGGGAGGAACGGCGGUGGUGGCCCUCCACGCUGCCAUCCGCCUUCGGCGCAGCUCUAUCUCUCCCGGCAACACCGCCGCAAUGCCUUCCGGCCGCCGCCCGCCCUCCCCACCGCGCUCCUAGCGUUAGAGAUUGGAGAUAUAAUUGGAGUAUAUGACAAUUGGGCCUAUAGCUUUUUAUUAUUUUUUUCUAAUUGAAUUGCCAUGUUGAUGCCACGUGUAUGUCACGUAGGUCCAAAACCGCUCCGGAUUGAGCUAAGGGGGUAAUUUGUCCGGUUUCAAUAGUUUGAGGUGUCAAAUGUCCGGUUCUGUGGUUCAGGGGGGUAAUUCGUACCGUCGCUAAUGUUUAGGGGUGUAAUUCAUACUUUUUCAUAUAAAAUAUGUAUCUUGUUGUCCUUUUAUCCAAAUCUA